GCAGUCGACGAAGCUCUGCGAUACAAGACUUCGGUCAAGUUGAGCGGAUGACUUAGUGGCGGACGGGUGAGUAACGCGUGAGGAACCUGCCUUUCAGUGGGGGACAACAGUUGGAAACGACUGCUAAUACCGCAUAAUGUAUUCUGACCGCAUGAUCGGAAUACCAAAGAUUUAUUGCUGAAAGAUGGCCUCGCGUCUGAUUAGAUAGUUGGUGAGGUAACGGCCCACCAAGUCGACGAUCAGUAGCCGGACUGAGAGGUUGAACGGCCACAUUGGGACUGAGAUACGGCCCAGACUCCUACGGGAGGCAGCAGUGGGGAAUAUUGGGCAAUGGGGGAAACCCUGACCCAGCAACGCCGCGUGAAGGAAGAAGGCUUUCGGGUUGUAAACUUCUUUUACCAGGGACGAAGGACGUGACGGUACCUGGAGAAAAAGCCACGGCUAACUACGUGCCAGCAGCCGCGGUAAUACGUAGGUGGCAAGCGUUGUCCGGAUUUACUGGGUGUAAAGGGCGUGUAGGCGGANAAGCAAGUCAGAAGUGAAUCCAUGGGCUUAACCAUGAACUGCUUUUGAACUGUUU
Molecule: ribosomal RNA, 580 nt
Filed under: uncultured bacterium
Lineage: Bacteria
Description: bacterial SSU rRNA
Rfam family: Bacterial small subunit ribosomal RNA
Source: RNAcentral